This 911-nucleotide ribosomal RNA is filed under the name uncultured bacterium. RNAcentral describes it as "bacterial SSU rRNA". It matches the Rfam family "Bacterial small subunit ribosomal RNA", at positions 19 to 942 of the family's 1533-position model. The record is from RNAcentral.
CUGGCUCAGGACGAACGCUGGCGGCGUGCCUAACACAUGCAAGUCGAACGGAGUAAUUCCUUUCGGGGGAUUACUUAGUGGCGAACGGGUGAGUAACGCGUGAGGAACCUACCUCUCAGUGGGGGACAACAGUUGGAAACGACUGCUAAUACCGCAUAAUGUAUAUUUGGGGCAUCCCUUUUAUACCAAAGCUUUAUGUGCUGAAAGAUGGCCUCGCGUCUGAUUAGCUAGUUGGUGGGGUAACGGCCCACCAAGGCGACGAUCAGUAGCCGGACUGAGAGGUUGACCGGCCACAUUGGGACUGAGAUACGGCCCAGACUCCUACGGGAGGCAGCAGUGGGGAAUAUUGGGCAAUGGGCGAAAGCCUGACCCAGCAACGCCGCGUGAAGGAAGAAGGCCUUCGGGUUGUAAACUUCUUUUACCAGGGACGAACACAAUGACGGUACCUGGAGAAAAAGCAACGGCUAACUACGUGCCAGCAGCCGCGGUAAUACGUAGGUUGCAAGCGUUGUCCGGAAUUACUGGGUGUAAAGGGCGUGUAGGCGGAGAUGCAAGUCGGGAGUGAAAUCUAUGGGCUCAACCCAUAAACUGCUCUCGAAACUGUAUCCCUUGAGUAUCGGAGAGGCAAGCGGAAUUCCUAGUGUAGCGGUGAAAUGCGUAGAUAUUAGGAGGAACACCAGUGGCGAAGGCGGCUUGCUGGACGAUAACUGACGCUGAGGCACGAAAGCGCGGGUAUCGAACAGGAUUAGAUACCCUGGUAGUCCGCGCAGUAAACGAUGGAUACUUGCCUUCCGCUCCGAUUGCGGAGUGCGAGGCGCAGCGAAAGCGUUAAGUAUCCCACCUGGGGAGUACGCCGGCAACGGUGAAAACUCAAGGAAUUGACGGGGGCCCGCACAAGCGGAGGAACAUGU